UGUAUUUUACCUUAAGUAACAUUAUUCUGAUUUAUGCACAGGUUUUACUUUGCCGGUCCUUACAAGGAAUCAAUAAACCUUAUCCACCACAAUGGAAGGAGCACCAAACCCAUCCAAGAAGAGCUCAAUCAGCAGGCAGAUGA
Molecule: long non-coding RNA, 143 nt
Organism: Nanorana parkeri
Lineage: Eukaryota; Metazoa; Chordata; Amphibia; Anura; Dicroglossidae
Exons: 4
Source: RefSeq, a predicted model, not a curated record